GCGAGAGGGAGGACCUGAAGCAAAGCACAAAAAUAACGUCUCAGUUCGGAUUGUAGUCUGCAACUCGACUACAUGAAGCUGGAAUCGCUAGUAAUCGCAAAUCAGAAUGUUGCGGUGAAUACGUUCCCGGGUCUUGUACACACCGCCCGUCACACCAUGGGAGUUGGUAACGCCCGAAGCCGGUGAGGUAACCGAGAGGAGCCAGCCGUCGAAGGUGAGACCAAUGACUGGGGUGAAGUCGUAACAAGGUAGC
Molecule: ribosomal RNA, 253 nt
Filed under: uncultured bacterium
Lineage: Bacteria
Description: partial 16S ribosomal RNA
Rfam family: Bacterial small subunit ribosomal RNA
Source: RNAcentral